CACGGCCUAUCAGCUUGUUGGUGGGGUAAUGGCCUACCAAGGCAUCGACGGGUAGCUGGUCUGAGAGGAUGAUCAGCCACACUGGGACUGAGACACGGCCCAGACUCCUACGGGAGGCAGCAGUGGGGAAUCUUGCACAAUGGGCGAAAGCCUGAUGCAGCAACGCCGCGUGCGGGAAGAAGGCCUUAGGGUUGUAAACCGCCUUCAGCAGGGAAGAAACUGACGGUACCUGCAGAAGAAGGUGCGGCCAACUACGUGCCAGCAGCCGCGGUGACACGUAGGCACCAAGCGUUGUCCGGAUUUAUUGGGCGUAAAGAGCUCGUAGGCGGUUCGGUAAGUCGGGUGUGAAAACUCUGGGCUCAACCCAGAGAUGCCACUCGAUACUGCCGUGACUCGAGUGCGGUAGGGGAGCGGGGAAUUCCUGGUGUAGCGGUGAAAUGCGCAGAUAUCAGGAGGAACACCAGUGGCGAAGGCGCCGCCCUGGGCCGUAACUGACGCUGAGGAGCGAAAGCGUGGGUAGCAAACAGGAUUAGAUACCCUGGUAGUCCACGCCGUAAACGUUGGGCACUAGGUGUGGGUCUCAACCAACGAGAUCCGCGCCGUCGCUAACGCAUUAAGUGCCCCGCCUGGGGAGUACGG
RNAcentral lists this ribosomal RNA (639 nucleotides) under uncultured actinomycete. RNAcentral describes it as "bacterial SSU rRNA". It matches the Rfam family "Bacterial small subunit ribosomal RNA", at positions 232 to 885 of the family's 1533-position model. The record is from RNAcentral. Lineage: Bacteria; Bacillati; Actinomycetota; Actinomycetes; Actinomycetales.